Molecule: ribosomal RNA, 425 nt
Filed under: uncultured bacterium
Lineage: Bacteria
Description: partial 16S ribosomal RNA
Rfam family: Bacterial small subunit ribosomal RNA
Source: RNAcentral
GUGGGGAAUCUUGCGCAAUGGGCGAAAGCCUGACGCAGCCAUGCCGCGUGAAUGAUGAAGGUCUUAGGAUUGUAAAAUUCUUUCACCGGGGACGAUAAUGACGGUACCCGGAGAAGAAGCCCCGGCUAACUUCGUGCCAGCAGCCGCGGUAAUACGAAGGGGGCUAGCGUUGCUCGGAAUUACUGGGCGUAAAGGGCGCGUAGGCGGACAGUUUAGUCAGAGGUGAAAGCCCAGGGCUCAACCUUGGAAUUGCCUUUGAUACUGGCUGUCUUGAGUACGGGAGAGGUGGGUGGAACUCCGAGUGUAGAGGUGAAAUUCGUAGAUAUUCGGAAGAACACCAGUGGCGAAGGCGACUCACUGGCCCGUUACUGACGCUGAGGCGCGAAAGCGUGGGGAGCAAACAGGAUUAGAAACCCCUGUAGUCC